GAAUACCUUGCAGUACAUAUUCUAAAGUUCGAACGAUACAGAAAAAAUUGCGUGUCUCCUGCGCAAGUAUGACGCGCAAAUUCGUGAAGUGUUCCAUAUAUUU
Molecule: small nuclear RNA, 103 nt
Organism: Octopus sinensis (East Asian common octopus)
Lineage: Eukaryota; Metazoa; Mollusca; Cephalopoda; Octopoda; Octopodidae
Source: RefSeq, a predicted model, not a curated record